UCCGUAGGCGGGCUAAUAAGUCAGAGGUGAAAGUUUGCAGCUUAACUGUAAAAUUGCCUUUGAUACUGUUAGUCUUGAAUGAUUGUGAAGUGGUUAGAAUAAGUAGUGUAGCGGUGAAAUGCAUAGAUAUUACUUAGAAUACCGAUUGCGAAGGCAGAUCACUAACAAUUUAUUGACGCUGAUGGACGAAAGCGUGGGGAGCGAACA
Molecule: ribosomal RNA, 207 nt
Filed under: uncultured bacterium
Lineage: Bacteria
Description: partial 16S ribosomal RNA
Rfam family: Bacterial small subunit ribosomal RNA
Source: RNAcentral